GGGUCGAUGCCAGAGCGGUUAAAUGGGGCGGAUUGUAACUCCGCUGGCUUAGCCUACGCUGGUUCAAAUCCAGCUCGGCCCA
RNAcentral lists this transfer RNA (82 nucleotides) under Choricystis parasitica. RNAcentral's name for it is "tRNA-Tyr". It matches the Rfam family "tRNA". Rfam says of the family: Transfer RNA (tRNA) molecules are approximately 80 nucleotides in length. Their secondary structure includes four short double-helical elements and three loops (D, anti-codon, and T loops). Further hydrogen bonds mediate the characteristic L-shaped molecular structure. tRNAs have two regions of fundamental functional importance: the anti-codon, which is responsible for specific mRNA codon recognition, and the 3' end, to which the tRNAs corresponding amino acid is attached (by aminoacyl-tRNA synthetases). tRNAs cope with the degeneracy of the genetic code in two manners: having more than one tRNA (with a specific anti-codon) for a particular amino acid; and 'wobble' base-pairing, i.e. permitting non-standard base-pairing at the 3rd anti-codon position. The record is from RNAcentral. Lineage: Eukaryota; Viridiplantae; Chlorophyta; Trebouxiophyceae.